AAACUUUACAAUGCGGGAAACCGUGAUAAGGGAAUCUCGAGUGCCAGCAUAUAAUGUUGGCUGUCCAGAUGCCUAAAAAGCAUCUGUUAGCAAGGGCCGGGCAAGACCGGUGCCAGCCGCCGCGGUAACACCGGCGGCCCGAGUGGUAACCGCUUUUAUUGGGUCUAAAGGGUCUGUAGCCGGCCAAGUAAGUCCCUUGGGAAAUCUGGCAGCUUAACUGUCAGGCUGCUAGGGGAUACUGCUAGGCUUGGGACCGGGAGAGGUGAGAGGUACCUUGGGGGUAGGGGUGAAAUCUUGUGAUCCUCGGGGGACCACCAGUGGCGAAGGCGUCUCACCAGAACGGGUCCGACGGUAAGGGACGAAAGCUAGGGGCACGAACCGGAUUAGAUACCCGGGUAGUCCUAGCCGUAAACGAUGCUCGCUAGGUGUCAGUCACGGUGCGACCGUGAUUGGUGCCGUAGGGAAGCCGUGAAGCGAGCCACCUGGGAAGUAUGGCCGCAAGGCUGAAACUUA
RNAcentral lists this ribosomal RNA (513 nucleotides) under uncultured archaeon. Its description in RNAcentral is "bacterial SSU rRNA". It matches the Rfam family "Archaeal small subunit ribosomal RNA", at positions 345 to 858 of the family's 1478-position model. The record is from RNAcentral.